GGAGUUAGCCGGUGCUUCUUCUGUGAGUGAUGUCCUUCCUGCCGGCUAUUAACCCGCAGGCCUUCUUCCUCACUGAAAGUGCUUUACAACCCGAAGGCCUUCUUCACACACGCGGCAUGGCUGGAUCAGGGUUGCCCCCAUUGUCCAAUAUUCCCCACUGCUGCCUCCCGUAGGAGUCUGGGCCGUGUCUCAGUCCCAGUGUGGCUGAUCAUCCUCUCAGACCAGCUACGGAUCGUCGCCUUGGUGAUCCGUUACCUCACCAACCAGCUAAUCCGACAUAGGCUCAUCCGAUAGCGCGAGGCCCGAAGGUCCCCCGCUUUCCCCCGUAGGGCGUAUGCGGUAUUAGCCUGGGUUUCCCCAGGUUAUCCCCCACUACCGGGCAGAUUCCUAUGCAUUACUCACCCGUCCGCCGCUCGCCACCAGGGAGCAAGCUCCCCGUGCUGCCGCUCGACUUGCAUGUGUUAGGCCUGCCGCCAGCGUUCAAUCUGAACCAAGAUCAAAUUCUGA
This 507-nucleotide ribosomal RNA is filed under the name uncultured bacterium. RNAcentral's name for it is "partial 16S ribosomal RNA". The record is from RNAcentral.